RNAcentral lists this long non-coding RNA (3916 nucleotides) under Astyanax mexicanus (Mexican tetra). Its description in RNAcentral is "lncRNA (ENSAMXG00005004838.1)". The record is from RNAcentral. Lineage: Eukaryota; Metazoa; Chordata; Actinopteri; Characiformes; Acestrorhamphidae.
UGAGGACCAGAGUACCAGUUUCCUCAGUUCUCAGACCAGCUGAGGGCUUUUAAACCAAACUGAAGGUCAUUUGCAAGAAACAUGAAAGAAUAUAAAGCAUCUUCUUUUCACUGAUAUUCAGAAAGGACUAUAUUUAUUUUGGAACUAUUUAUUGUGCAUGAAGGAUACCUAAGAAAACAAAAUGAAGAAAACAUGGAUUGUAGCACUGGUGUGCUUGACAGCAACCCUGUUAAGAGCACAGACAACAGACACAAACACAACAAGCACACCAGUUGACACAACACCAGAGAAUACAACUGAGAUGACAGCAGCAACAGGAGAGACUCCCACAAGUACUGAACAAACACCUACAACAAACCUGGUCACAGACACAGAGCAAUCACAGAGCUCGGUUAUUCAAACCACUCUGCAAGCUCUGGCACGUUUUGUGACAACUACAAGUGAAUUCCUAUCAACAAAUCUUGUAACUUCAAAUCAAGAACAAUCUACAGAAAAUUUAGAAAUAAGCCCAACUGAAAUUCCAACAUCGACUACAGAACAAGAAACAACAAAUGACUCAAAUAAUGCAUCAACUACAGGUGAAGUUCUCACAAGUCCCGAAUCAACCACAACUGAAUCAGUACCAAGCACAUCAACUCCAGUUGAGUCGACAAUGCAGGAAACAACAACUGUGGAGUCAACAAGUAUCACAGACCUUCUGACAUCAACUACAGAACAGGUAACUACCCUGGAAACAACCAUCUCAAAUGAGUCAGCAACAACAAGUGAAGUCCUCACAAGUCCUGAAUCAACCACAACUGAAUCAGUACCAAGCACACCAACUCCAGUUCAGUCGACAAUGCAGGAAACAACCACUUUAGAGACAACCACUUCAAAUGAUGCAGCUACUACAACUGAAGCUUUUACACGUUCUGAACCAACCACAACUGAAUCAUCACCAACUCCACCAACACAGCAGGAAACAACCACUUUAGAGUCAGAAACAAGUACCACUGAACUUCUGACAUCAACUGCAGAACAAGUAUCUACACUGGAAACAUCAACCCCCAGUGAGCCUGCAACUACUACCAAAGUCCUCAUAAGUCCUGAAUCAACCACAACUGAAUCAGUAACAACCCCAACAACUCCACUUGAGUCAACAAUGCAGGAAACAACCACUGAAGAGUCAACAAGUACAAUUGAAUUUCUGACAUCAACUGCAGAGCUAGCCACUACCUUGGAAACAACCACAUCAACUGAUGCAGCUACUACAACUGAAGCCUUCACAAGUUCUGAACCAUUUACAACUGAAUCAUCGACAACUCCCAUUGAGUCAAUAACACAAGAAUCAACCACUUUAGAGUCAACAAGUACCACUGAACUUCUGACAUCAACUGCAGAACAAGUAUCUACACUGGAAACAUCAACCCCAAGUGAACCAUUAACAACCCCAACAACUCCAGUAGAGUCAACAAUGCAGGACACAACUACUGUGGAGUCAACAACAAGUAUCAAUGAGAUUCUGACAUCAACUGCAGAACAAGUAUCUACUACUACCGAAGUCAUCACAAGUCCUGAAUUAACUACAACUGAACCAUUAACAACCCCAACAACUCCACUAGAGUCAACAAUGCAGGACACAACCACUGUAGAGUCAACAAGUACAACUGAACUUCUGACAUCAACUACAGAACAGGUAACUACCCUGGAAACAACCAUCUCAAAUAAGUCAGCAACAACAAGCGAAGUCCUCACAAGUCCUGAAUCAACCACAACUGAAUCAGUAACAACCACACCAGCUCCUGUUGAGUCGACAAUGCAGGAAACAACCACUGUAGAGUCAACAAGUACCACCGAACUUCUUACAUCAACUGCAGAACAAGUAUCUACACUGGAAACAUCAACCCCCAGUGAGCCUGCAACUACUACCGAAGUCAUCACAAGUCCUGAAUCGACUGCAACUACUGAAUCAUCAACAUCAUCACCAACUCCUCUUGAGACUACAGUGCCAACUACAACUAUUUCCACAACAACAAAAAAUGAAGGCUAUCUUUCUUUACGCUUUAAGAUGGAUACUGUUUUCAUUGAUGCUUACAGUAAUCCAAAUUCAGAUGCUUUUAAGACACUGGCCAAUCAUGUUGAAACUGAGUUGACAAACAUAUACACAGCAAUGUACCCGCUGACAUUCCGAAGAUGCAUCGUCAUUUCAUUUCGGCCUGGCUCUGUGGAAGCACAGACUCAACUUACUUUUUCGGACCAGACCCAGAUGCCUAAUACUACAAAUGCUGAAGAAGCUUUAAAGCAAUCUCCUAAUUCAUCAUCUUUAAAUGUUAUUGCAUCCAGUAUUGAAGCUGUGGUCAUCAAUUCUGCAAAUGCAACCGAAUCCCCAACCACUAAGGAACAAGAAACUAGCCUGGAUGCAACAACCUCAAGCGAGACAGCAACUACAAGUGAAUUCUUCACGAGUCCUGAACCAACUACAAAAGAAUUAUUAACAUCACCAACUCCACUUGAAUCAACAAUGCAGGAAACAAUCACAGUAGAAUCUACAACAAGCACCACUGAAGCUCCAACAUCCACUACAGAACAAGUGACAACCUUGGAGACAACAACCUCAACUGAUGCAACAACUACACGUCAAGUGGUCACAAGCACAGAACCAACUACAACUGCAUUAACAACACCUUUUGAGACUACAGUCCAAGAAACAACCACUGUAGAAUCCACAACAACCACCACUGAAGCACCAACAUCAACUACAGAAAAAGUGACAACUCAACAACAAACGAGUGAAUCCCAAUCAACUUCAAAUUUUCUGACAACCACAAGCGAACCAGUUACAACGACAACUACAACAAUGAACACUCCUGUCCACAAUGAAGGUUACCUUUAUCUACGGUUUAAGAUGAAUCAGAAUUUCAUUUCAGCAUAUACUGUUAAAACCUCACCUGAAUACCAGUCACUGGAAAGCAGUGUGAUAACAGAGGUGACCAGAGCAUUCACAUUUAAAUACCCACUAACAUUCCAAAGAUGUGUGAUCCUUAGUUUUUGGCCUGGCUCUGUUGGAGUAGACGCGCAGACAACUUUUGCAAAUGAGACUGCAGUGCCCAGUGUGCCAGAAGCAGUGCAAGCACUACAAGAGAAUUUAAACACAUCCAAUAACUUAAAUAUUACACUCUCAAGUCUUCAAGCUGCAAUAAACUCAAGUGGACUUACUGACAAUUUCCAAUCGACUGAAGCCCCUGCUACAUUCACAACAUCAGUUGAAACAACUGAAACUUCAACAUCAUUAACAGUUCCUGUGGAGACUACAGCACCAGAAACAACCUUUGUAGAAUCACCAACUAGUACCAAUGUAGCUUCAACAUCAACUACAGAACAAGUUACAACCCUGCUUACAACCACCACAAGUGAGGCAACAACUACACAUGAAGUUGAUACAAGUUCUGAACCUACAACUGAUUUAUCACCAACAACUCUAUUUGAGACUUCAUUACAACAGACCUCCACUGUAGAAUCCACAAGUACCACUACAAUCACCUCAACUGAAGCAACAACUUCAACCACAGAACAAGUGGCAACCUUGGAGACAACAACCUCAACUGAUGCAACAACUACAAGUCAAGUGGUCACAAGCACAGAACUAACUACAACUGAAUUAACAACACCUUUUGACGUUACAGUCCAAGAAACAACCACUGUAGAAUCCACAACAAGCACCACUGAAGCUCCAACAUCAACUACAGAACAAGUGACAACCUUGGAGACAACAACCUCAACUGAUGCAACAACUACAAGUCAAGUGGUCACAAGCACAGAACCAACUACAACUGAAUUAACAACACCUUUUGAGACUACAGUCCAAGAAACAACCACUGUACAAUCCACAACAAGCACCACUGAAGCUCCAACAUCAACUACAGAACAAGUGACAACC